GCCGGAAUAGCUCAGCGGUAGAGCAGUUGAUUUGUAAUCAUCAGGUCGUCGGUUCAAUCCCGACUUCCGGCUCCA
Molecule: transfer RNA, 75 nt
Filed under: Lentisphaerota bacterium
Lineage: Bacteria; Pseudomonadati; Lentisphaerota
Also listed under: 1 other name
Description: Lentisphaerae bacterium (anaerobic digester metagenome) tRNA-Thr
Rfam family: tRNA
About the family: Transfer RNA (tRNA) molecules are approximately 80 nucleotides in length. Their secondary structure includes four short double-helical elements and three loops (D, anti-codon, and T loops).
Source: RNAcentral